This 78-nucleotide transfer RNA is filed under the name Alphaproteobacteria bacterium. Its description in RNAcentral is "tRNA-Arg". It matches the Rfam family "tRNA". From Rfam's summary of the family: Transfer RNA (tRNA) molecules are approximately 80 nucleotides in length. Their secondary structure includes four short double-helical elements and three loops (D, anti-codon, and T loops). RNAcentral also lists the same sequence under 3 other names. Lineage: Bacteria; Pseudomonadati; Pseudomonadota; Alphaproteobacteria. The record is from RNAcentral.
GCGCCCGUAGCUCAGUUGGAUUAGAGCAUCAGACUACGAAUCUGAGGGUCGGGGGUUCGAGUCCUCCCGGGCGCGCCA